UUAGCAUGGAAUAAUAAAAUAGGACUUUAGUCCUAUUUUCGUUGGUUUAGGUACUUCAGUAAUGAUGAAUAGAAACGGUUAGGGGCAUUUGUAUUUGGUCGCUAGAGGUGAAAUUCUUGGAUUGACCGAAGACAAACUACUGCGAAAGCAUUUGACCCGGGACGUUUUCAUUGAUCAAGGUCUAAAGUUAAGGGAUCGAAGACGAUUAGAUACCGUCGUAGUCUUAACCACAAACUAUGCCGACUAGAGAUUGGGCGUGUUUAUUAUGACUCGCUCAGCAUCUUAGCGAAAGUAAAGUUUUUGGGUUCUGGGGGGAGUAUGGGACGCAAGGCUGAAACUUAAAGGAAUUGACGGAAGGGCACCACCAGGAGUGGAGCCUGCGGCUUAAUUUGACUCAACACGGGGAAACUCACCAGGUCCAGACAUAGUAAGGAUUGACAGAUUGAAAGCUCUUUCUAGAUUCUAUGGGUGGUGGUGCAUGGCCGUUCUUAGUUCGUGGAGUGAUUUGUCUGGUUAAUUCCGAUAGCGAACGAGACCUUAUUCUGCUAAUUAGACAGGCUAACUCUUUCGGGUUGGUUUAUAUUUAAUAUUUAACUGGCUUCUUAGAGAGACUAUCGGCUUCAAGCCGAAGGAAGUUUUAGGCAAUAACAGGUCUGUGAUGCCCUUAGAUGUUCUGGGCCCCACGCGCGCUACACUGAUGAAGUCAGCGAGUUUAUAACCUUGGCCGGAAGGUCUGGGUAAACUUUUGAAACUUCAUCGUGCUGGGGAUAGAGCAUUGCAAU
RNAcentral lists this ribosomal RNA (782 nucleotides) under uncultured Mucoromycotina. RNAcentral describes it as "SSU rRNA". It matches the Rfam family "Eukaryotic small subunit ribosomal RNA", at positions 804 to 1590 of the family's 1831-position model. The record is from RNAcentral. Lineage: Eukaryota; Fungi.